Molecule: long non-coding RNA, 577 nt
Organism: Hemicordylus capensis (graceful crag lizard)
Lineage: Eukaryota; Metazoa; Chordata; Lepidosauria; Squamata; Cordylidae
Exons: 3
Source: RefSeq, a predicted model, not a curated record
UAGUCAGUCCACCAGGGCAAGGGUGUGGGGCUAGUAGGCACACUCCAGUUGCCCCCACCAUGUGUUGCUGUACCCAGUUCAUAACACCUGAUUCUCGGCUCAUCCUCUGGCUGGUGUUGAUGGCUCAGCCUACAGCCACCAUGUCUGGAAUUGAUUAUGCCCUUUGUGCUCCAACCGUCAAUUCCUGGAUAGCAGGAAGUACAUGCCAGUUUGAGGGUAAAACUUGUGUUAUGUAUAAAUGGCCACCAUUGAGACAAAGUACAUAAUAUGACCUAAAGGACUGAGCAAGUUUCCGUGGAUUUUUUUCUUAGGAUAUUUAUUGUGAUCUGUGAAAGCUGAGAACAGGCUGGAAGAGUCAAGAAACAAUAACCUUUCUGCCAAGAUUUGCAAGCUGCACUAUGCUGGUGGCAUUCCUUGACGGUUUCCAUUGUGAGAUGGUUAUCAGUAUGCAUAAUACACCUGUUGAUUUAUUUAAAGAGGUGGUCUCCAGCAACACUUUAGGUUGCUAACAAAAAUACCUAUAAACAUUACAGUAAAAAGCAGUUAAAAUAUUAUGUACAUCAGCGUCAUAACUGAA